UACGUAGGGUGCAAGCGUUAAUCGGAAUUACUGGGCGUAAAGCGUGCGCAGGCGGCUUUGCAAGCCAGAUGUGAAAUCCCCGGGCUUAACCUGGGAACUGCAUUUGUGACUGCAUGGCUGGAGUGCGGCAGAGGGGGAUGGAAUUCCGCGUGUAGCAGUGAAAUGCGUAGAUAUGCGGAGGAACACCGAUGGCGAAGGCAGCCUCCUGGGAUAACACUGACGCUCAUGCACGAAAGCGUGGGGAGCAAACAGG
Molecule: ribosomal RNA, 253 nt
Filed under: uncultured bacterium
Lineage: Bacteria
Description: partial 16S ribosomal RNA
Rfam family: Bacterial small subunit ribosomal RNA
Source: RNAcentral